CAAUUUGUCAACAGCUUUGGAACAACUUGUUGACAACUUGUAACAACCUUGUCAAAAUUAUCAGACUUGUUGCAAGGUUGUUCUGACAAGUCCGUUACACACUUGAUAUAACAAGAUUGUUUCAACCUUGUGUUGACGAACUUGUAACAUCCUUGUUAUACCGUGGCUGUAACAAACUUGUUAGCACAGUGUUGUAACAAGGCUGAUGAUGCCAUCAAGCUUGUUACAAGUUGUUAACAGUUGUUGCAAACUUGUUACAACAAACUG
Molecule: microRNA precursor, 267 nt
Filed under: Paramuricea clavata
Lineage: Eukaryota; Metazoa; Cnidaria; Anthozoa; Malacalcyonacea; Plexauridae
Source: RNAcentral